This 1141-nucleotide long non-coding RNA is filed under the name Felis catus (domestic cat). RNAcentral describes it as "lncRNA (ENSFCAG00000046421.2)". The record is from RNAcentral. Lineage: Eukaryota; Metazoa; Chordata; Mammalia; Carnivora; Felidae.
AUGUGUUCUGUUGUCAGGCGCUUCACGGCGACAGAGCGAUGUCGAAGCCCCCGGACCUGCCAGGCCCACAGGAGGUCACAGAAUAUUUUUGAUCAUGGUCCUGGCAGUGGGAGUGAUGGGCUGUCCGAGGAGCACCCGGGAGACCAGCUGGAUGCAAGCAUAAGCACCAUGGAACUGCCUGGAGGCCAGCUUCUCACACCCAUGCUGUCUUCUGGAUUGUGGCACGUCCCUCCUAUCGGGUCUGCUGGCCACCGCUCCCACCUCCGCCGACCCAGUCUCCACUCCAGCCAGAAAGGAGCAUUGCCAGGCACACACCCAACUCCCCCACUUCAGAGAAUCCAUCAUUCUUCCUCCUGCCUUCCAGAAAUUGCUUCGAACUCAAUGUCACUCUGCUCAGAACACCCUCACCAGCAACUCCCCCUUGCCCCCACCGGCCUGCAGGUCCGUGCCUGUCCUCUCCCGUCCCACCCCCUAAGCCUAGUGAGGCUAAGUGUCCUUCCCACGGCAGGCUGGGCCCCCCACCCCCACCCCGGAGCCCUCCCCACAACGUAGGCCAAGCUCCUAAUGUUUGUCUCUGUCCCCAGCUAGACAGAACCUCCACAAAGCACAGUGGUGGUUUUCGUAUCACUAGCCUGGUGCUGACGCCCCAGACCAGGCCUGCCUGUCUUUUGCUCACUCCAAGUCUCCCUCCAGCCAUUAGCGGGGGCAGGGGAGAUGCUCUGGGACUUGGUGCCAGGAUCCUAGCGCUGCUCGGUACUCCCCUCACUCCGUACCUUCAGGCAGGUCACUGUCCCCUCUGGCCCUCAGUUUCUCUACCUGCUCUUCUCUUCCCACAAGCUCAGAAGUAAAGCGACCAAAGCAGCUUGAUUGACUGACUCCCUUUUUUUUCUUUAAGUUGACUUAUUUAUCUUGAGAGAGAGAGAGAGGAGAGCAGAGAAAGAAUCUCAAGCAGGCCCCCCGCUGCCAGCGCAGAGCCCAACACGGGGCUCGAACUCACAACCGGUGAUCGGGGCAGAAGUCAAGUGACUGACUGACUCCCUUCGAAAAUGUUAUUUUAGUGUAGUAACAUGGUAUCUACCACCUUAACAGAUGUCCAAGUGCACAAUACAGUAUUGUUGACUCUAGGUGCAGUAUUCUGUGG